GGGGAAAUUGGCGAAAAAAAGAAGUUCAUAUCCUUAAUUUUCUAAAAAAAAAGGAUAGGGGGCUAAUUGAAAAUUAGGUACAAAUUUAGGGGCCAAAUCACUAGUAUACCCAUCUAACAAACGAUCCAUUUGUUCUCACAUGCCAAGUACAACAAGUAUUUUAUUUAAAGGAUACAAAGCUUGGUAAUAGUUGGCGAGUUGUAGAGAGGUCACAACCUCGAGAGGAAUUUAUGAUUUUGUAGAAGAGAAAGAAGUGAAUUAUGUUGUAGAAGAGGGCGAGGAUCCAUAUCAACAAGAGUCGCAUGAGUUUGUUAGUUUUGUGGAAGGUAAUGAUGAUGAGGUGUUGUACGUAGAGAUGACAUGGACAUGAUUCCUGUGGAACAUGUUGAAAGCGAUGCAGAAGAUGGUGCACAUAGCAAUGAGGACAUUGAGGAAGAUUUAAGCUAUGCUAGUGAUAGUGAAAAUGAUGCUCAAUAUUUAGCUGCUAGUUGCUCAAUAUGUGCUUUCUUCUGCUAUUUGUUAAAAUGGUUUAACAGUAUGUCUGUUUAUGUUUAUGUUUAAGUUUCUAUUUCAAUUGCGAAAGAGAAUAUGAUUUGUGCCUUUAUGCCAAAGUAGAAUUUUCUACUACCUGGUUUUAGUUAUUAAUAGGGAAUUGUUGUACUACAUUUGUUUUCCAUUUCCUUCUGUGAAUCAGAUUUAUGAAUUUUUGUAACAGGAAGAAUGGUGGAUGUUAUUACUUAGUUGGUUCUAGGAAGGAGGGGGGAUAAGGUUACUUAGUUGUAACAACAAAAAUGGGGUUACUUUACUUGAAGGAUUCACAAGUUAGCUAAGGGGCAAUUUUAACAUGGAAGAAGUAGAAAAUUCUGCUACCUAUUCUCAGUUUUUCAUUUUCAGUUUCUAAGGUAUUUUUUAUACAAGUUUUAAAUUGCUAUGGCUGGUAGAGGACGAGCUACGAAGGUAUUGCAUCAAUUGCGAAAGUCUCCCUGACUUGAAAACAUCAAUCCUAACCAAAAUACAAUGUCGAUCAAUGUCUCCAUCUUCUAGUCAGUAUGGAUCAUCUUCCUCCCACCGUGAUAAAUUAGUGAUUCCUUGAGAUAUUGAACUAUCAGAGUCUUCUCAAGUAGCUCACUCUCCUACUUUGGAAGAGGACAUCAACACUACAAGUUUGCAAUUGCUACGUCAUAGAUUCUCUAUUUUUUAAUUAACUGCAGUAAAAGGUUGUUUGUGAUUGUAUGUAGAGUUUGAUGUAGGUUCAAGAAGCAGCAAGAAAAGGCGUGGACAUACACUAAGUAUUAAGCUAUCAAAGAAGAGAUGUUCUGGUGAUUUAGUUGAAAUUGACAUUCCUGAGCACAUUAAGAGAGUUGUAGGAAACAAUUGUCGAAGCUACAUCACGAAUUUAGGGUGCAUAGUUCGAAGGAAUGCUCCGUUACAAGUUGAUAGUUGGAAAAAAAUUGAAAGGAAAGAUGUUACAUUGAUGUUGCGUUGGGUCCGUGAGAAAUUCAAUUUGAGCAAUGAAACUUAUGUAAAUAUGGCUAUUGAGGAUCACAUGAAGAGAAGAUACUACUCUUGGCGUUACAGUUUGCAUAAGAAAUUUCUAGAGUACGGAUCUGAGGAGGAGGCACUUGAGCAUCGACCUCAAACAGUGGGAGAGGAUGAUUGGAACUAUCUAGUUCAAUUAUGGCAAAAAGAUGAGUGAAAGAAAAGUAGUGCAAAAAAUAAGGAAAAUAGAAAGAAAUUGAAGAUCACACAUUGUGCUAGUUCAAAGGCCUUUAGUCGUAUUAGAUAUGAAAAUGUAAGCUUCAUUUGACCCUUACAAUCUUCUUGCAUUGAAACUUUUUAAAGUUAUAAUUUAUGAAACUUGUAAAUAACAUGAUGGUGGUCUAUGACUACAUGAAAUAGAGAAAUUCUAAAACUGGAGAAGAACCUAGCAGCAUUGACUUGUUUCAACUCACUCGAUUUAGCACAAAGAAAACAACAUGGGUUGGCGAAGAUGCCAAGAAUGCUUUUGAUGAGAUGAAGAAGCUGAAGAAGUUGCCACAAAC
Non-coding RNA from Prunus avium (sweet cherry), 2042 nucleotides. The record is from RefSeq and is a predicted model, not a curated record. Lineage: Eukaryota; Viridiplantae; Streptophyta; Magnoliopsida; Rosales; Rosaceae.